RNAcentral lists this transfer RNA (79 nucleotides) under Prochlorococcus marinus str. MIT 9313. RNAcentral describes it as "tRNA-Und (NNN) (tRNA-Und-NNN-1-1)". It matches the Rfam family "tRNA". From Rfam's summary of the family: Transfer RNA (tRNA) molecules are approximately 80 nucleotides in length. The record is from RNAcentral. Lineage: Bacteria; Bacillati; Cyanobacteriota; Cyanophyceae; Synechococcales; Prochlorococcaceae.
GUGACCCACUGGGAUCUGCCCCUGUCUAUUCGGGCUCAUAACCCGAAGGUCGGGAGUUCAAAUCUCCCCCCCGCCACCA